CCUACGGGAGGCAGCAGUGGGGAAUAUUGCACAAUGGGCGAAAGCCUGAUGCAGCGACGCCGCGUGAGGGAAGACGGUUUUCGGAUUGUAAACCUCUGUCUUAUGUGACGAUAAUGACGGUAGCAUAGGAGGAAGCCACGGCUAACUACGUGCCAGCAGCCGCGGUAAUACGUAGGUGGCAAGCGUUGUCCGGAAUUACUGGGUGUAAAGGGAGCGUAGGCGGGAAUGCAAGUUGAAUGUUAAAUCUACCGGCUCAACCGGUAGCUGCGUUCAAAACUGUAUUUCUUGAGUGAAGUAGAGGCAGGCGGAAUUCCUAGUGUAGCGGUGAAAUGCGUAGAUAUUAGGAGGAACACCAGUGGCGAAGGCGGCCUGCUGGGCUUUUACUGACGCUGAGGCUCGAAAGCGUGGGGAGCAAACAGGAUUAGAUACCCUGGUAGUC
RNAcentral lists this ribosomal RNA (439 nucleotides) under Candidatus Soleaferrea massiliensis. RNAcentral's name for it is "bacterial SSU rRNA". It matches the Rfam family "Bacterial small subunit ribosomal RNA", at positions 338 to 795 of the family's 1533-position model. Lineage: Bacteria; Bacillati; Bacillota; Clostridia; Eubacteriales. The record is from RNAcentral.